Molecule: transfer RNA, 56 nt
Filed under: Dolichomastix tenuilepis
Lineage: Eukaryota; Viridiplantae; Chlorophyta; Mamiellophyceae; Dolichomastigales; Dolichomastigaceae
Description: partial tRNA
Rfam family: tRNA
About the family: Transfer RNA (tRNA) molecules are approximately 80 nucleotides in length. Their secondary structure includes four short double-helical elements and three loops (D, anti-codon, and T loops). Further hydrogen bonds mediate the characteristic L-shaped molecular structure. tRNAs have two regions of fundamental functional importance: the anti-codon, which is responsible for specific mRNA codon recognition, and the 3' end, to which the tRNAs corresponding amino acid is attached (by aminoacyl-tRNA synthetases). tRNAs cope with the degeneracy of the genetic code in two manners: having more than one tRNA (with a specific anti-codon) for a particular amino acid; and 'wobble' base-pairing, i.e. permitting non-standard base-pairing at the 3rd anti-codon position.
Source: RNAcentral
GGCUAGAGCGCCUGCCUUGCACGCAGGAGGUCAUCGGUUCGACUCCGAUAUUCUCC